UGCAGGAGGUCAACGAGGCUGC
RNAcentral lists this unclassified non-coding RNA (22 nucleotides) under Mus musculus (house mouse). RNAcentral describes it as "oocyte_clustered_small_RNA13801". The record is from RNAcentral. Lineage: Eukaryota; Metazoa; Chordata; Mammalia; Rodentia; Muridae.